GUGACCUUGCAUUAUGCCGUAACAAAGAACAUUGACCGUGAGAUGUGGAGCAACAAACUCUCAAACUCAAAAAAGAUAUAGUUGUAGCACAGAAAUCACCACAUCAAACCAUCCAAACAAUAAUUAAUUUUGCCACUAUUCCCACGUCCUAAAAUGCAUACAGAGAGUCUAACUGUUGUGUCAAAUUACGGGUCAGAUUCGGCGCGCAGGGAACGCAAAUCGCAGGAACCUACUUAGCGCCCAUAUAGUCACAGAAGGCACCUUAUUUUACAGUUUUUGCAUUUACUUUUAUAAAACUACUGAAUUGCAUAAUAAUGAUGUGUUAACAACAUUCGUAACAAGAUUGCCAAUGGCAUCCCUUCCCAAGGAUGAUCAUCUUCUCAAAGAAUCUCUCUAUCUCUGUAUGAGACUGGUUUGAGACAUCACCUGAUGUGUGUAUUGUGUCCAGUCAAUUAUUCAUAACGUCAAUUGCUGCACGAAGUUGACUCAAACUUGACCGGAGGCGGCCAGCUGAGAACCUCGCAGUGUUUCCAUUUCACGACAAUUACCCGUAUUUAAGGGGAGUUAUACUUUGGCUACCUAUAUUUAGUUUAUUUAUUUAUGUUUAUUACAUAUCUUUGCAGACGAUACAAUGUACCAGUUCACUUUUGGGAUUAAGUAGUUAUGCUUUUCCAUAAUCAUCCUUCGCCCUAUUGUAUGUCUCUUCUUCAUUUGAUUGAUUAUAUGUAAAUAAUUUAUGGCCAGUGACCAAAAUUGGACUAGGUAUUAUCUUCAUAGGCUCAUAUAAGUUUGUGUAUUUCUCUUACGGUCUCUUUGUUACUCUUACGUUAGUAGAUACGUGUCUUCAUAUCUUCGAUACUGGGUUUGCGAGCUACACGGCGGCCUAAAUUUGUUGCUCAAAUCUUUACCUAAAUUAAAUUUGUAUCGUUAGAUAAGAGUUGCGUUUAUAAUCUAACCCGAGGCACCCUAUUUCAGGAGCUGAGAGUUCUUUUUUACAAGCUUUUAUUUAAUGUCAACGAACUAUUAUAUGUAUAUAAGUAU
Plodia interpunctella (Indianmeal moth) is the source of this 1041-nucleotide long non-coding RNA. RefSeq lists it as uncharacterized. The transcript has 2 exons. The record is from RefSeq and is a predicted model, not a curated record. Lineage: Eukaryota; Metazoa; Arthropoda; Insecta; Lepidoptera; Pyralidae.